GCUGACGAGUGGCGGACGGGUGAGUAAUGUCUGGGAAACUGCCUGAUGGAGGGGGAUAACUACUGGAAACGGUAGCUAAUACCGCAUAACGUCGCAAGACCAAAGAGGGGGACCUUCGGGCCUCUUGCCAUCGGAUGUGCCCAGAUGGGAUUAGCUAGUAGGUGGGGUAACGGCUCACCUAGGCGACGAUCCCUAGCUGGUCUGAGAGGAUGACCAGCCACACUGGAACUGAGACACGGUCCAGACUCCUACGGGAGGCAGCAGUGGGGAAUAUUGCACAAUGGGCGCAAGCCUGAUGCAGCCAUGCCGCGUGUAUGAAGAAGGCCUUCGGGUUGUAAAGUACUUUCAGCGGGGAGGAAGGGAGUAAAGUUAAUACCUUUGCUCAUUGACGUUACCCGCAGAAGAAGCACCGGCUAACUCCGUGCCAGCAGCCGCGGUAAUACGGAGGGUGCAAGCGUUAAUCGGAAUUACUGGGCGUAAAGCGCACGCAGGCGGUUUGUUAAGUCAGAUGUGAAAUCCCCGGGCUCAACCUGGGAACUGCAUCUGAUACUGGCAAGCUUGAGUCUCGUAGAGGGGGGUAGAAUUCCAGGUGUAGCGGUGAAAUGCGUAGAGAUCUGGAGGAAUACCGGUGGCGAAGGCGGCCCCCUGGACGAAGACUGACGCUCAGGUGCGAAAGCGUGGGGAGCAAACAGGAUUAG
RNAcentral lists this ribosomal RNA (698 nucleotides) under Escherichia coli 908616. RNAcentral's name for it is "bacterial SSU rRNA". It matches the Rfam family "Bacterial small subunit ribosomal RNA", at positions 87 to 781 of the family's 1533-position model. The record is from RNAcentral. Lineage: Bacteria; Pseudomonadati; Pseudomonadota; Gammaproteobacteria; Enterobacterales; Enterobacteriaceae.